UACGGAGGGUGCAAGCGUUGCUCGGAAUCACUGGGCGUAAAGCGCACGUAGGCGGAUUGUUAAGUCAGGGGUGAAAUCCUGGAGCUCAACUCCAGAACUGCCUUUGAUACUGGCGAUCUCGAGUCCGGGAGAGGUGAGUGGAACUGCGAGUGUAGAGGUGAAAUUCGUAGAUAUUCGCAAGAACACCAGGGCGAAGGCGGCUCACUGGCCCGGUACUGACGCUGAGGUGCGAAAGCGUGGGGAGCAAACAGG
This 252-nucleotide ribosomal RNA is filed under the name uncultured bacterium. RNAcentral describes it as "partial 16S ribosomal RNA". It matches the Rfam family "Bacterial small subunit ribosomal RNA", at positions 524 to 776 of the family's 1533-position model. The record is from RNAcentral.